Chlorocebus sabaeus (green monkey) is the source of this 1410-nucleotide non-coding RNA. The record is from RefSeq and is a predicted model, not a curated record. NCBI's taxonomy places the organism in Eukaryota, Metazoa, Chordata, Mammalia, Primates, Cercopithecidae.
GGAGACCAGUAUUUGCAAUGAAUGCUCGUCUUCUCCCUUGCUGCCUGUCUAUCCAGUGAGGUAACUGCUAUUUCAUAAAUUCAGAUGCUGUAUCCCUUGCUGACCAUUUCUUGCUGUUAUCUAUUUGGACGUCAACUUGGUCCUCUGGUCUCUCCCUGUAGAUGCCUCCCUUUUUUGAAACCAUUAUCCACAUGGCCUGAAAAACACACCGGGGAAGAGACAAUGUGAAGAUGGUCAACUGCAAACCAGGAAGCAGGCCCUCACUGGACCCCAGAUCUGCUGGUGACUGGAUCUUGGACUGAGCCUCCAGAACUGAAAUAAAUAUUUAAUCAUUCUCUUGAACGAUCAGAACUCUAAAAUCAGUUUUCUAUAACAAAAUGUAACACAGACACGGUGGCUCCAAGGGCCAGGAAGACAGUGGUUAAGACACGAAAAGUGUAGGAAGGGGGCUGGAAACAAAGCAUUCUUUUCCAUCAAAGCUUCAUUCCUCAAGUCCUCGAUUCAAACAGUCAUUGUCCCUGCUUUCAAAAGUCUCUGCGUGCUUCGUGGAAGGAUAAUUGCACCCCUGGCCAGGUAUCACCCAUCAACCCCUGUCAUCUGUCAAGAGUGGCUGCUGGAGGCAUCACCCUCUGAUUCCAGGACUUCAGCCCUAACUGGUGCACUCCUCGGUUUGGGGCAUCCUCUGGUUGAGUGGCAGGCGCUGCAGGCAGGAGCCGUGGUGUGUGUGUGAACUGUCUACAGAGGCGGCAGGUGACCCAGCACUGUCAGCUGCAGCAUCUGGCAAGGCAGACAGAUAGAACUUAACAAGAAAAAGCUAAGGAAGAGAAGAGGAGAGAGAGGAGAGGAGAGAGACAGCGAAGAGGCUGGAAAAGGAAGAAGAGAAACAUGUUUUUUGGAAUCAAAGUGUUACCUGGAUUCUUACCCAGGAUUUUCCUAUUGUCUUAGGACCUAAAGGGAAAAGACCAGCCAUGGGGUAUGUGAGCCUCUGGGAUAUCUGCCUCAAGCCCAUAAUGCCAUGCAUCUACAGCAGUUGGAACAGUUUAAGAGUCAGACCUCUCUAGAUCCCAAGCGCUGCAACAUGAAUAACAAAACCAAGGUUAAGCCACAGACCAGGCCCCAUGGAGAUUUCACUGCUUCCAGCCUGACCAUCAGGAUUUGGGUCCUGACCACUCCCCUGGCUGUUGGGCUGGUCCCAGCUCUGGGCCUUGGUUUUCUCACCCACAGAAUGGGGACAAUACAGGACCUCCCUCAUCAGAGCUGUCACAAGUGUUAAGUGAACGGGUUCAUGUGAAGCCCUGCAGUGCCUGGCACAGAUCAAGGGCCCCACCGAUAGUGGCUGUGAGUUUUCCCACGAAUGUAUUUUUUUGAUAUGUAACAUUUUAAAAUAAAAUUUUCUCUUUUCUUUCUUUC